UAUAAAAUAAGAAUAAAAAAAUAAAUUGAAUAAAAAUAAAAAAUUAAUAAAAUAUAAAAAAAUACAAAUAGGCAACUAUUCAUUACAGCAAAAAGCAUAAACUUAGUCAAUUUAUAAAAAGAACGAACUUUUGUACAUAUCAAAUAGGAAGAACCACAACAAAGUACACGUUAUAGCAAUUAUUAUUACAACAACAUUAAAAAUAUUGUAGUUAAAAAGUACAUAAAUGUAAAUUUCACAUCGAAAAUCGUAGAAAAACUCGAAAUGCUUUGUCCUCUGCCAACUGCUAAUACAUAAAUCACAUCAAGCAUGAAGAAUGUGAGAUAUUUUGAGCGAAUGCGAGCAGCCAACUGUAAUUAGAUAAGAAAAUACGCUCCCUCCGAGCACUGAACUACUAAUUAAGUUGAAUAGUUAUGUAAUGGAGUGUGAGUGAAUACAUAUAUACAUCGUAUUAAGAAAAAUGCAGGAGUUAAAGAGCAAAAAGUUAAGAGUGAAAAAGUCAAAUAGAGAGUAUACAGGGUGAGUCAUAAAAAAAAAUAAAGAAAAAAUAUUCAAAAUUCAGAUUUUUCUAAUAGUUGAUUGAAAAUAUGUGUAAAAAAUUUAUUUAUUUAUUUUUUUAAAAUUUAUUAAAAAAUGUUUAUAAGUGUUAAAAUUCUUAUUUAAUUUUAUUAGACACUUACUAAGAAUAUUCUACAAAUGCUUUCGAAAAGAUUUGUCUACAGCCAACUUUUUUAGCUGUGUGACCCUCUUCGAAAAAUUUCGAUGCAAAUUCGAAAAAUGCUGUUUCAGGAAAAGCGCGUCUAAAGUUAAGAUAUUGAACUGACCGCCUACAAAUUUAGAAGCCACGAACCCUAAAAAUUUAGACAUCGAUCUAAGAUUUUAGUUUAUUAUUUAGGAAGGCCUAGACUAUUUAUUGGCCCCAAUACACAUAUUUCAACGGUUUUUUCAACUCAAGAAACAGUUGUUAAAGUCAAUUUCCGGAAUAGACUUCAAUGCGCGUAGCGAUUAACGUUUAAUAUGCUCAGUCGUGCUUUCACUUUUCUUAGGCCCAAAUGAUUUCUCACAAUAGUUUUCAGUGAUCCAUCCGUUAUUCUUUUUGUGAACAGUAAUUCAAGGCGUGGUGAUUCUGCAGCAAAUAUUUUUACAACACACUCUCAGUUUUAGCGCUUGCUAAAAGGCCGGUGCCUUCGACUUACUUAAUAAAUCUGGAAGAAAAUAGAGGUGUGAAGAUCAUUGGAGUAUACUGUCGCCCCUAUUCUGCAGUCCAUUUUGGACGCGUCCGUAUACAUGGAGGUAGUAUCCUCUCCUACUAAACAUCUCAUUCAUUCAAGUCCAGAGGGUAGUCUCAUCCGAAAGUAACUAUUGAAGCUAAUCUUACUAGAAUAUAGCCUAAUUACUCAAGUUUAGCUGUUUCAGAAAUUGCUGCUGCAAAGCGAGUCAACUCCUCAUCCUCGUAUGAGCAUUUGGUGCAGGAGUAUACUAACUACCUCGUCGAAGCAGACUCGGUAACUCUUGCACAAACCAUUCUUUAUUUCAAUGCUAAUUUUCCAUUUCAAUUGGGAAUCGAUUUCAACCACAUUUGCAUUACUGCAUGGCGGCGUUCCAUAUUUCUCAUUAAAAGACUUGCACCUGUGUACCUGCGCUUUUUGCUGCAUAGCAAAAUUGCUGCGAAUUUCUGGAUAAUCCCUCAGUUUGCUUCACUCUCCAGCAUGACGUUGAUUAAAUUUUCCGCGUUUAUUGUGACAACCAGGUUUUCUAUGGUGGUGGGCUUUCGCUGCCAUCGCAGAAAUCCAAAGAAAGUGUGUACAGCGUCGUCUCUUGUCACGCCGUUGUAUAGACAUGACUGUUCCUCGACUUUUCUCUUUCUGUGGAGGUACUUUUCGAAGUAUCCGUGACUAGAUAACAGCCCAGCUUUGUAAAAGUCGACUUGUUAAUCUCGGUCCAGCUUUACGCCUAGGUAUUUCGAGGUGGAGUCGUUUUCUCACUUAUUUGUUAGCAUUAGUAACUCUGUUUCUUUCCGCAGCGAGCUGGAGGUUGUACGAGUCGAGCCAUGAUUGGGUCCGUAUCAUGGCCUGUUUAAGCUUUCUUCGCGCUUCUUCUGUGUCUCGUGCUGAGGUUACUGUUGCAAUGCCAGCUGCGUAGCCAAUUAAGUACGAUUCGUCUAGCAUUUCGAGUUUUAAUAUAGCGUCGUGGCUGAUUUUCCACAAGUCUGCGCCUAUAAUGGAUCUUUGUUCUGCUCCUGACGAGAUGGCUGUCUGUACCUGUCUGACAUUUCGAGUUUUGGUAUAGCGUCGUCGCUGAUGUAACACAAUUCUAGGCCUAGAAUGGAUUCUUGUGUGCUCCUGACGUAACCGUCUGUCCCUCUCUAGUUUGGUAUAGUUACAUAUAUACCACAUAUACCAUAUGGUUUUCUGUUACUAAAGUAGCUCCGCACAGCAGCUCUGGGGUAGAUGAGGAUUUUAAGGUUUUUUUUCGAAAACGUCGAUAAUUAACUAUCCUGUACAGCUUCUACACUUUCAAUGACGCAUUUUAUAGCUCCUAGAGUUGAUCUGCUGGGUCUAAAGCCGUGUUGUCUAGGGAAGAGUCAUCCAGCUUAGUUGAUAGCCGCUUCGAGUUUUGGUUUAAGUAGCUUUUUAGAGUGCUUUCCCGCUGUGUCAAGCAUGCAUAGUAUAAUAAUGAAUACUUAGUACUUUAAUACUUUGUUAUGAAUCUAUUUUGUGCUGUCUAAAAGUAUUCUUCACGGCACUUAGAAUUGUUUUACAGUACUCGUACUCUUUCAUAGUAAUUUAUUUAGUAUUUAAGACAAAUUUGAUUAAAUUUUACAGAACUAACUAAAGAAAACAUGAUUAGAAUUAUGAAAAUAGUUUCACGCCUGAAUGUAGGCAGUAAUAUUUUAUGUAGCAUACCUUUUGGCGCUUAUCUUUCAUAUACCAUAUAAGCAGCUCACCCUGUAUUCCUAUAAAAAAAAACUGUAUUUACACUACAACCUCUGCACAAUGUAAUUAAAGCAUAUAUUACUUAAUUAAUUUCGCAUAUUUUUCUCGCACAGCAAUUAAUUGAACAUAAAAAUGCACAGCUUAUGUACGUAUUGGGGGAUGUAAUGUAAAAGUAAUGCAUAAUAAAGUGUAGAAAAAAUAGGCGAAUAUCUACAAAUUCAUAAUUGAAUACCGCAAACCAAAUUAAGCGCAUAUGCAAAGCGGCAUAAAAUAAUUAACACAAACCGUUUAUGCUUGCCACAAGUAAAUAAAAGUAAACUACACAAUUAAAUUCACCGCUAAACGCUGCCGCAUGCAAUUUCAUUAAAAGGACACACGACUACACACAUACACUCACAUACAUGUGUAUGCUAAUGUGCAACUGUGAUUGUGUAUAACGUAAAUGUAUGUAUAAUACUGAAGUAUGUAAGCUUGUGCAUAGAAAAAUGUGGAUUUGCGGCAGUGGCGGCUUACUAAAAACCUGUUUGUGUGUGUGUGUGCAUGCUUGCACUUAUAGACAACAACCAAAUCAAAAGUAAAAAAACAUGCACAGGCAUUACUACGCACUCAUACAUAUGGACACAUGUGCAUAUAUACAUAUGUAUAUGUAACGGUACUUUUGUACAGCAAACAAACGUUCACCUGCGCGUAGCUGAAUGCCCCUUGAGCCAAUUAUUGUAUUUAUUGUAAUUACAACUAUACUAACUAAGAAAAAACAGCAACAAAAAAUAUGCGGUAAAUAUGAAAUAAGUAUACAGCCAUAAAAAUAGUACUACUAGUAUGUAUAAAAGAAUACAAAAAUUAACAAAAACAAAAACGAUGGAAAGUCGCAUGGAAAAAAUUGCAUUUAGAUAUAUUGAAUUUGCAAAAACAAAAUGUAAAAAUUUUCUAACUAAAAAUUACAACAAAAAAAUUAAAAAAAAAAAAAAUUAAAAAAAAAAAAAUAU
Bactrocera neohumeralis is the source of this 3922-nucleotide long non-coding RNA. RefSeq lists it as uncharacterized. The record is from RefSeq and is a predicted model, not a curated record. The transcript has 2 exons. Lineage: Eukaryota; Metazoa; Arthropoda; Insecta; Diptera; Tephritidae.